AGAACGAACGCUGGCGGCAUGCCUAACACAUGCAAGUCGAACGCUCUUGAGGCUUCGGUUUCAAGGGAGUGGCGCACGGGUGAGUAGCGCGUGGGAACCUGCCCUGUUGUGGGGGAUAACCGAGGGAAACUUCGGCUAAUACCGCAUACGCCCCGGGACUUGGUCUUCGGAUUAGGUCUGGGGGGAAAGAUUGAUCGCAGCAGGAGGGGCCCGCGUCGGAUUAGCUGGUUGGCGGGGUAAUGGCCCACCAAGACGAUGAUCUGUA
RNAcentral lists this ribosomal RNA (265 nucleotides) under uncultured bacterium. Its description in RNAcentral is "partial small subunit ribosomal RNA". It matches the Rfam family "Bacterial small subunit ribosomal RNA", at positions 26 to 285 of the family's 1533-position model. The record is from RNAcentral.